AGAGUUUGAUCMUGGCUCAGAUUGAACGCUGGCGGUAUGCUUAAGACAUGCAAGUCGUGCGGUAGAAGGCUUUGGCCUUUGAGAGCGGCGGACGGGUGAGUAACACGUGGGAAUCUGCCUAUUAGUGGGGGACAGCCCAGCGAAAGCUGGAUUAAUACCGCAUACGCCCUACGGGGGAAAGCAGCAAUGCGCUAAUAGAUGAGCCCGCGUAAGAUUAGCUAGUUGGUAAGGUAAAGGCUUACCAAGGCGACGAUCUUUAGCUGGUCUGAGAGGAUGGCCAGCCACAUCGGGACUGAGACACGGCCCGGACUCCUACGGGAGGCAGCAGUCGGGAAUAUUGGACAAUGGGCGCAAGCCUGAUCCAGCAAUACCGCGUGUGUGAAGAAGGCCUGCGGGUUGUAAAGCACUUUCAGUUGGGAAGAUAAUGACGUUACCAACAGAAGAAGCACCGGCUAACUCCGUGCCAGCAGCCGCGGUAAUACGGAGGGUGCAAGCGUUAAUCGGAAUUACUGGGCGUAAAGCGUGCGUAGGCGGCCUGUUAAGUCAGAUGUGAAAGCCCCGGGCUUAACCUGGGAACUGCAUCUGAUACUGGGAGGCUAGAAUGUGGGAGAGGAGAGUGGAAUUUCCGGUGUAGCGGUGAAAUGCAUAGAGAUCGGAAGGAACACCAGUGGCGAAGGCGGCUCUCUGGACCAACAUUGACGCUGAGGCACGAAAGCGUGGGUAGCAAACAGGAUUAGAUACCCUGGUAGUCCACGCCGUAAACGAUGUCAACUAGCCGCCGGCCUCACUCUAGAGGUCGGUGGUGCAGCUAACGCAUUAAGUUGACCGCCUGGGGAGUAUGGCCGCAAGGUUGAAACUCAAAGGAAUUGACGGGGGCCCGCACAAGCGGUGGAGCAUGUGGUUUAAUUCGAUGCAACGCGAAGAACCUUACCUGGUCUUGACAUGUAGUGAACUUAGCAGAAAUGUUUUGGUGCCUUCGGGAACACUAACACAGGUGCUGCAUGGCUGUCGUCAGCUCGUGUCGUGAGAUGUUGGGUUAAGUCCCGYAACGAGCGCAACCCUUGUCAUUAGUUGCUACGAAAGGGCACUCUAAUGAGACUGCCGGUGACAAACCGGAGGAAGGUGGGGAUGACGUCAAGUCCUCAUGGCCCUUAUAGGUGGGGCUACACACGUCAUACAAUGGCUGAUACAAAGGGUUGCCAACCCGCGAGGGGGAGCUAAUCCCAUAAAGCCAGUCGUAGUCCGGAUCGCAGUCUGCAACUCGACUGCGUGAAGUCGGAAUCGCUAGUAAUCGUGGAUCAGAAUGUCACGGUGAAUACGUUCCCGGGUCUUGUACACACCGCCCGUCACACCAUGGGAGCGGGUUCUGCCAGAAGUAGUUAGCCUAACCGCAAGGAGGGCGAUUACCACGGCAGGGUUCGUGACUGGGGUGAAGUCGUAACAAGGUAACC
Molecule: ribosomal RNA, 1451 nt
Filed under: uncultured bacterium
Lineage: Bacteria
Description: bacterial SSU rRNA
Rfam family: Bacterial small subunit ribosomal RNA
Source: RNAcentral